UAUAUAUAGAAAAGCAGCCGGAACCGAAAAGAACAAUUAAAAGUCAACGUGGCUCAGAGGUGCAUGUGGACUGUAGCAGAGACGAAAGCGACUGAGGCGGUGUUUGGUGAGGUGUUGCAUACGGGCACAUGAGCAGGCAGUGCGCAUGCCUCAAGAGCGAGGGUGGAUGCGGGAGGAGGGUUAGAGUUGGUGGGCGGGGCUCUGUCAUGCGUAUCCCAUGACGCGGGAGGAGGUUUAGAGUUGGCGAGUGGGGUUCUGUCGUGCGUAUCCCAUGGUCUUAGAGUUGGCAGAUAGAGGCAUAUCUUUUUGAAAGUUUGGCCCUGUGCCUUAUUAAUUGUCAUUGCAAAAGCCAAUCUAACAGGAAAUUGUCUGCAUGUAAAAGUAAAAGGCAAAUUUGAAUCUGA
Molecule: long non-coding RNA, 404 nt
Organism: Erpetoichthys calabaricus (reedfish)
Lineage: Eukaryota; Metazoa; Chordata; Cladistia; Polypteriformes; Polypteridae
Exons: 2
Source: RefSeq, a predicted model, not a curated record